GUUCAUGGUUGAACGGUGGGGAGUUGGACUGCCUGGCUCCCUGUAUGCCACCUGCGGGGCUUGUCAAAAUGAUUGCCAGGCUGCAUAGCUGGCAUCCAGGGAGCCAGACAGACCUUUCUCUUGCCUCAUCCGGGUCCC
This 138-nucleotide microRNA precursor is filed under the name Physcomitrium patens. RNAcentral describes it as "Physcomitrella patens miR160f stem-loop (ppt-MIR160f)". Its record names the gene ppt-MIR160f. The record is from miRBase by way of RNAcentral. Lineage: Eukaryota; Viridiplantae; Streptophyta; Bryopsida; Funariales; Funariaceae.